UUUGCCAGUUGCCUGCCAACUUCUAUCCCUGGGUCUGUUCCUGGGAGGUUUCUAGGACACCUCAGCUCUUGUUCCCAGAUGCUCCAUGCCUCUCCCUGAGUCUCAGGGUGCUUCUAGCCUGAUGGAGAAGCUGGUUCUACCUUUGUCUGAUGGAGCAGGCACAGGCUCUGCCCUCAGGGAGCCCUCAGUCUGAGGGGAGACAGGACACAAGCCCGGCCUUCAGAGUGGCCAGUCAUGAUGGCAUCCCCCAUCAUGAUUUUAAUUUUUAGUCUUUACUUGUUCACGACUCUAUAUCUGUGUCUCUUCCUGGAACUUAAGAUCCGUGACAGCAGGGACUUCUAUCUGCCUCUCACAGCAUCUUCGGCACUUGUCUAGCACCAAGCAAGCAAUAUUUCCUGAAUGAAUGAAUGAAUGAAUGAACUGGGAAACAGCACCAGAUCUGAAAGCCCCACGUCAAGAGGCAGCAGUGGAUAAACUCUAAAGUCCUUCCGCAUUCCAGCCUGUGUGAUGUGGCCCUCCACCUUGCCGCCUCCCACCCCUCUGGCCACACUCUUCAGCCACCAGCCACUAUGAGCACUGGCUGCCCUGGUGUCAGCCCCAGUUCCCACCUCCACCCCUUUCCUCACCGCACUCCCUCUUCCUGCAACUGCCUUUGCUCCCAUUGCCACAUGACUAAAUCCUGCCAGUCCUUCAAGGCCCUACGCAGAGUCACCUCCAGGAAGCCCACUCAGAUCCCUCCACUGGAUCUAAACGUCCAUAGCUUUUUCUCUGGGCCUCUUCUCUCACUGUGUCUGCAUAGGCCUGCUGGGGUCAUGGCUUCUCUCCCUUUUAUGCCAUAAGGCCCUGAGGGCCAGGAUUGCCUGCAGUUGCCCUGGAGGCCGGUACCUUGUGGUGGCUCCAUUGGAGGAAGUGUGAGCUGCUCAGUAGGCAGGUGGUCGUGUGUGCUCCUCUUUGCCCCAGCUUCUGGAAGCGCUGGAGGAGACGGAGAGAGUCGGCAGGACUCCCACUGUGGGCCUUGGAGGGAAGAAGGCCUCUGCAUCCUGGGGUGGGCCAAGGCUGCCUGCCAGCACCCAGCACCCAGCACCCACUGGCAUCUUCCACAGCAGCCUUGGGUCUGCACAAACUGGCUACAAACACAUAUGACUGCAUCUCACUCCAGUCCACAGCCAUGCCAAGGAGGAGGAUGCUACUCCCUGGGGCCCGCCUGCAGAGAGCCCCACGAGAUCUUCCUUGAGGAUUUGUUUUCUACCUUGAACUUUCACAGGCAUUUUACUUCCUACCCCAUGCUAUGUCCUUGUAUGUUUUAGUAUCAAAAUAAUGCUUUCCAUCACUUACCAUUGGAAAAAAACGGACACUCGAAGAGAUAAGGCAAAUUAUCAGGCCUGAGCUGUUCUUGCCCCUCUUCCUGGGUUUGGAAAGAGUGCAGAACCAGGAGCGAUAGGCCUGGGCCCAGGCUUGGCCCUGCAGACGAUGAUGGCUAAGUCAUCCAUAGAAUGGGCUGGUGAGCCUGCCGUGCCUUGCCUUAGGACAGUGGCCACCACUAAAUGGAGCAGUGGGUGUGAAGACUAAUGAUUCACACAUGGAACUUGAGGUGUCGGCUGGCUGUCUGGGGGCUGGGCCCCUCUCCAGGCCCCUCUGAGACUGGAGAAGCUGGAGGGAGCCUGAGGCCGACACCCCCAGCAUGGCCGCCACCCAGAUUCCCCCGAGCAGGCCGGGGACUGGGGGUCCAGGCAGCAGCUGCCCCCUCCCAGGCUAGAGGAAAGGGUGAGCUCACCCCCUGGCCCAGGCAGAGUGAGGGGGGUAGGAGACAUAAUUAAAAUGCCAGAGGUUAGGAGGUGAAGUUACAAUGGAAAGAAUGAAGCCCCAGCCCUGCUGCCGCUGCUUCUCCCACCCCGCUCCCUUUGCCAAGCCCACAUUUGAUUUUUAUUUCGGGAGCCGCCAGCACAGCACUUGGGAGGGAGUGGAGAAACCUCACUCCGGCUUGCCUUGCCAAGUCUGGAGCUGGGGCCACAGAGUGGGGAGGGGGCUCCUGGGACCCAGAGGAAGAGCCCAGAGGCCCCCACCCCAGGACCCAACGUCCUCAGGGAUCAGGUGCCAGGGAAGGGUGGCACUUGGGGCAGGGAGUGGGCUUGGGAGGCCAGGAAGAGAGACCUCGAAACAAUGAAGGCAUUCCUCGAUGUUUGCAUGAGGCUUUGCGCCUUCACUUUACUCUGGAGGCUGACCCCGGCCUCUUUCCCACUCCCAGCGCUAACUCCGCCUGCCCCCAACACUGGAGACUUUCAGUGCCCACUGGCAUGUGCAUAUUUGUGAAAGGGUUGCUGUGUGGCCCUGGGGAAGUUACUACCCCUCUCUGGACCUCAGUCUUCUCUCUGUGAAAUGGGCAGGUUGGCAAGAUUAGCAGGUUCAAACUGGGCUCUGCAAGGGUGUUGGAGGCCUGGGCCCUGCCCUCUCCUGGCCACCCUUUCCUGAGCACAUCUCUUAUCUGCCCCUUCUAGGGACUGGGGAGGUGGAGGCAGCGGUUGGCCCAUCCCCUGAGCCCCCGCCGCCCCCCUGCAGACGGGAGCUGCUGGGGCCAACUCACAUUUUCCUGCUCUCGGCUUUCUCCUCUGCCCAUAAUGCACUCCAGAUGGUCUCUCCAUCGGAGAGCCGAGGCAGCG
This 2657-nucleotide long non-coding RNA is filed under the name Homo sapiens (human). RNAcentral describes it as "HSALNT0242339". The record is from RNAcentral. Lineage: Eukaryota; Metazoa; Chordata; Mammalia; Primates; Hominidae.